This 380-nucleotide ribosomal RNA is filed under the name uncultured eukaryote. RNAcentral's name for it is "partial 18S ribosomal RNA". It matches the Rfam family "Eukaryotic small subunit ribosomal RNA", at positions 592 to 976 of the family's 1831-position model. The record is from RNAcentral.
CAAUAGCGUAUAUUAAAGUUGUUGCAGUUAAAAAGCUCGUAGUUGGAUUUGUGGUGUACUUCGGCGGCCUUUCACUAUGUGAUGGAGCUUGCUGAAGUCGCCAUCCUUGGGUGGAUCCUGUGUGGCAUUCAGUUGUCGUGCAGGGGAUGCCCAUCGUUUACUGUGAAAAAAUUAGAGUGUUCAAAGCAGGCUUAUGCCGUUGAAUAUAUUAGCAUGGAAUAAUAAGAUAGGACCUUGGUACUAUUUUGUUGGUUUGCGCACCAAGGUAAUGAUUAAUAGGGACAGUUGGGGGUAUUCGUAUUUCAUUGUCAGAGGUGAAAUUCUUGGAUUUUUGAAAGACGAACUACUGCGAAAGCAUUUACCAAGGAUGUUUNCAUUAA